AAUUUUUGAGUGGGGAUUUUUGCAACACCUCACAAAUGGCAUUUGAAACUUGUUGGAAUAUUCAUAACAUGCUAAGGCUUCAUGGUUUGGAAAUUAGCUUUUGAAAUGAAUUGAAAAAAUGGACACAUAAGCCAUCACAUAGUGAAAAUGCAAAGUAUGAAGAAUUUGGACAUGGGACCAAUUCUAUCAGCUUCCAAAUGAUAUUUGUGGUUUGCUUGAAGUGAUAAAUUGCUGCUACAUUGCUUCUAA
This 249-nucleotide long non-coding RNA is filed under the name Lathyrus oleraceus (garden pea). Its description in RNAcentral is "Pisum sativum (pea) long non-coding RNA (PSAT_LNC015424)". The record is from RNAcentral. Lineage: Eukaryota; Viridiplantae; Streptophyta; Magnoliopsida; Fabales; Fabaceae.